GUCUAUAGUCAAACUGCACAAAGAUUUUCCUGUAUUAUAAAGUACAUUAUAGAUCAGUCAAUGCUGUGUCAGUACGCUAGUCUGUUUGUCUGUCUGUUAUUUGGAGACGUUCUGACAUACCAGUGUUUCCCUAUCUGGGAUCCAUCACCUUGAUACAGUUGAUACUGAUUACUUCAUAUCAUUCAAUAAAGAAUAAAGUCAACAAAAAGAAUCCAGUUUCUUACAAUGGUGGCAGCGGUGGGAUUCUCGCAGAUUAA
Ostrea edulis (European flat oyster) is the source of this 257-nucleotide long non-coding RNA. RefSeq lists it as uncharacterized. The record is from RefSeq and is a predicted model, not a curated record. NCBI's taxonomy places the organism in Eukaryota, Metazoa, Mollusca, Bivalvia, Ostreida, Ostreidae. The transcript has 3 exons.